GAGUUUGAUUACAUGGCUCAGAUUGAACGCUGGCGGCGUGCUUAACACAUGCAAGUCGAGCGGUAACAGGCGUAGCAAUACGUGCUGACGAGCGGCGAACGGGUGCGUAAUACAUGGGAAUCUGCCUUUUAGUGGGGAAUAACCCGGCGAAAGCCGGGCUAAUGCCGCAUAAGAUCUUCGGAUGAAAGCGGGGGAUCGUAAGACCUCGCGCUGAUAGAUGAGCCCAUGCCGGAUUAGCUAGUUGGUGAGGUAACGGCUCACCAAGGCGACGAUCCGUAGCUGGUCUGAGAGGACGGCCAGCCACACUGGGACUGAGGCACGGCCCAGACUCCUACGGGAGGCAGCAGUGGGGAAUAUUGGACAAUGGGGGAAACCCUGAUCCAGCGACGCCGCGUGUGUGAAGAAGGCCUGCGGGUUGUAAAGCACUUUCGGUGGGAACGAAAUAUGCCGGGCUAAUACCCCGGUAGGCUGACGUUACUCAAUGAAGAAGCACCGGCUAACUCUGUGCCAGCAGCCGCGGUAAUACAGAGGGUGCGAGCGUUAAUCGGAAUUACUGGGCGUAAAGCGCACGUAGGUGGCGACGUAAGUCGGGUGUGAAAGCCCCGGGCUCAACCUGGGAACCGCAUUCGAGACUGUGUUGCUGGAGUACGGAAGAGGAGGGCGGAAUUCCCGGUGUAGCGGUGAAAUGCGUAGAUAUCGGGAGGAACAUCAGUGGCGAAGGCGGCCCUCUGGUCCAGUACUGACACUCAAGUGCGAAAGCGAGGGGAGCAAACAGGAUUAGAUACCCUGGUAGUCCACGCCCUAAACGAU
Molecule: ribosomal RNA, 810 nt
Filed under: uncultured bacterium
Lineage: Bacteria
Description: bacterial SSU rRNA
Rfam family: Bacterial small subunit ribosomal RNA
Source: RNAcentral